UUUGUGUUGGAGUGAGUAUUCCUUAUUCCAGGUAAGAAAUCUUUGUGGUUUUCCGUUAUGAGACGAGAAAACUGAAGAGAUUUUUUACAGAUUUCUGCAGAAUUCUACUUGCAUU
RNAcentral lists this microRNA precursor (115 nucleotides) under Caenorhabditis brenneri. Its description in RNAcentral is "pre miRNA CBN33895". The stretch from base 32 to 90 matches the Rfam family "mir-255 microRNA precursor family". Lineage: Eukaryota; Metazoa; Nematoda; Chromadorea; Rhabditida; Rhabditidae. The record is from RNAcentral.